AGUGAACGCUGGCGGUAGGCCUAACACAUGCAAGUCGAACGGCAGCACAGUAAGAGCUUGCUCUUACGGGUGGCGAGUGGCGGACGGGUGAGGAAUACAUCGGAAUCUACUUUUUCGUGGGGGAUAACGUAGGGAAACUUACGCUAAUACCGCAUACGACCUACGGGUGAAAGCAGGGGAUCUUCGGACCUUGCGCGAUUGAAUGAGCCGAUGUCGGAUUAGCUAGUUGGCGGGGUAAAGGCCCACCAAGGCGACGAUCCGUAGCUGGUCUGAGAGGAUGAUCAGCCACACUGGAACUGGGACACGGUCCAGACUCCUACGGGAGGCAGCAGUGGGGAAUAUUGGACAAUGGGCGCAAGCCUGAUCCAGCCAUACCGCGUGGGUGAAGAAGGCCUUCGGGUUGUAAAGCCCUUUUGUUGGGAAAGAAAAGCAGCAGGUUAAUACCCCGCUGUUCUGACGGUGCCCAAAGAAUAAGCACCGGCUAACUUCGG
This 491-nucleotide ribosomal RNA is filed under the name uncultured bacterium. RNAcentral describes it as "partial 16S ribosomal RNA". It matches the Rfam family "Bacterial small subunit ribosomal RNA", at positions 29 to 506 of the family's 1533-position model. The record is from RNAcentral.